RNAcentral lists this transfer RNA (73 nucleotides) under Stegodyphus mimosarum. It matches the Rfam family "tRNA". Rfam says of the family: Transfer RNA (tRNA) molecules are approximately 80 nucleotides in length. The record is from Rfam by way of RNAcentral. Lineage: Eukaryota; Metazoa; Arthropoda; Arachnida; Araneae; Eresidae.
GCCUUCGUGGUGUAGUGGUCUAAACGCUCGACGCGUAACCGAGAGGUCCGUGGUUCGAUUCCCGGGGAAGGCG